Molecule: transfer RNA, 73 nt
Filed under: Camelus bactrianus (Bactrian camel)
Lineage: Eukaryota; Metazoa; Chordata; Mammalia; Artiodactyla; Camelidae
Also listed under: 2 other names
Rfam family: tRNA
About the family: Transfer RNA (tRNA) molecules are approximately 80 nucleotides in length. Their secondary structure includes four short double-helical elements and three loops (D, anti-codon, and T loops).
Source: Rfam by way of RNAcentral
UAGGGCAUAGCUCAGUGGUAAGAGUACAUGCUUAGCAUGCACUAGGUCCUGGGUUCAAUCCCCAGUACCUUCA